RNAcentral lists this ribosomal RNA (253 nucleotides) under uncultured bacterium. RNAcentral's name for it is "partial 16S ribosomal RNA". It matches the Rfam family "Bacterial small subunit ribosomal RNA", at positions 524 to 776 of the family's 1533-position model. The record is from RNAcentral.
GACGGAGGGUGCAAGCGUUGUUCGGAUUGACUGGGCGUAAAGGGCGUGUAGGCGGUCGGCCAAGUCUGAUGUGAAAGCCCGAGGCUCAGCCUCGGAAGUGCGUCGGAAACUAGUCGGCUGGAGCGCGAUAGAGGAGGGUGGAAUUCCUGGUGUAGCGGUGAAAUGCGCAGAUAUCAGGAGGAACACCGGUGGCGAAGGCGGUUCUCUGGGCAUGUCCUGACGCUGAGGAGCGAAAGUGUGGGGAGCGAACAGG